AGGGACAUAACUCAGUGGUAGAGUGCCAUCUUGACAUGGUGGAAGUCGUCAGUUCAAGUCUGAUUGUCCCUA
RNAcentral lists this transfer RNA (72 nucleotides) under Roya anglica. RNAcentral's name for it is "tRNA-Val". It matches the Rfam family "tRNA". From Rfam's summary of the family: Transfer RNA (tRNA) molecules are approximately 80 nucleotides in length. Their secondary structure includes four short double-helical elements and three loops (D, anti-codon, and T loops). The record is from RNAcentral. Lineage: Eukaryota; Viridiplantae; Streptophyta; Zygnematophyceae; Zygnematales; Mesotaeniaceae. RNAcentral also lists the same sequence under 1 other name.